UACGUAGGGUGCGAGCGUUAAUCGGAAUUACUGGGCGUAAAGCGUGCGCAGGCGGCUUUGCAAGACAGAUGUGAAAUCCCCGGGCUCAACCUGGGAACUGCAUUUGUGACUGUGUGGCUAGAGUACGGUAGAGGGGGAUGGAAUUCCGCGUGUAGCAGUGAAAUGCGUAGAUAUGCGGAGGAACACCGAUGGCGAAGGCAAUCCCCUGGACCUGUACUGACGCUCAUGCACGAAAGCGUGGGGAGCAAACAGG
Molecule: ribosomal RNA, 253 nt
Filed under: uncultured bacterium
Lineage: Bacteria
Description: partial 16S ribosomal RNA
Rfam family: Bacterial small subunit ribosomal RNA
Source: RNAcentral